RNAcentral lists this ribosomal RNA (475 nucleotides) under uncultured bacterium. RNAcentral's name for it is "bacterial SSU rRNA". It matches the Rfam family "Bacterial small subunit ribosomal RNA", at positions 26 to 518 of the family's 1533-position model. The record is from RNAcentral.
AGGACGAACGCUGGCGGCACGCUUAACACAUGCAAGUCGAACGAACGGAGAUAGCUUGCUAUCAAAGUUAGUGGCGGACGGGUGAGUAACACGUGAGCAAUCUGCCUUUAAGUGGGGAAUAACGAUUGGAAACGGUCGGUAAUACCGCAUAAUAUAGCGAAACCGCAUGAUUUUGCUAUCAAAGAUUUAUCGCUUAAAGAUGAGCUCGCGUCUGAUUAGCUAGUUGGUGAGGUAACGGCUCACCAAGGCGACGAUCAGUAGCCGGACUGAGAGGUUGAACGGCCACAUUGGGACUGAGACACGGCCCAGACUCCUACGGGAGGCAGCAGUGGGGAAUAUUGCACAAUGGGCGCAAGCCUGAUGCAGCGAUGCCGCGUGAGGGAAGAAGGUUUUCGGAUUGUAAACCUCUGUUGACAGGGACGAUAAUGACGGUACCUGUUCAGAAAGCUCCGGCUAACUACGUGCCAGCCGCGGC